CGAACCUGCAAACCCCAUGCCGCGAAUCGAAGUGCACAAACUUAACCACUACACCACGGGGUGGCCCCUGUUGCCACCUAUUUUUAAUAGGCACUUGGGCUCUGACAAGCUGAUUACUCACUGCUGCUUUGUUUGAGGUGUCAAAACACUGGAAACGUCGGGAUGGAGCUACAGACUUAGAAUUCAACAUCUAGAGAUGGUUGUUGAGGUCGAGAAAGUGGAUACAGUCACCAAGGGAAAGAGUACAGGGAAGAAUGGAGACGUGGAGGCCACCUUAUGAAAUAUCUCCACCUCAGACAUAGUAGGAAAAAGAAAAUAUGCCAGUGGUGGGAAAAAAGAAGUUGCCAUCAAAGAGGCUGGCAAAGAAUUAGGAGAGUGAGUGUCAGGGUAGGGGCCAGAAUCCACAAGAAGGUUGUGUUCCACAGCCAAGGAGUGACAGCAGGACAAGAGCUGCUAUCGUAAGACACCGGUGGACAUACUCGCAUCAGUGCAGUGGGGCCAAAGCUGGUCUGUAGGAAGCGAGAGAGGAGAGGCCCCCAGCUCUCUACAAGGACCCGAGACUCCGUGCUCUGGUUUCCCUUCUCCCUCUCCGUCUUCGACCUGGGAGUGGUGUUGAAGAUGGCUUGGAAGAAGUGGAGCUUGAAGUCGCUUCAGACUGCUGGAAGGGAUGUCAUACUUCAACAAAAAGCUUACUUUAAAAAGAAGCCAUGGGGUGGCUGGCCCCGUGGCCGAGUGGUUGGGUUUGCACGCUCUGCUGCAGGCAGCCCAGUAUUUCAUUGGUUUGAAUCCUGGGCACAGACAUGGCACUGCUCAUCAAGCCACACUGAGGCGGCAUCCCACAUGCCACAACUGGAAGGACCCUCAACGAAGAAUAUUCAACUAUGUACUGGGGGGCUUUGGGGAG
This 904-nucleotide long non-coding RNA is filed under the name Equus caballus (horse). RNAcentral describes it as "lncRNA (ENSECAG00000048015.1)". The record is from RNAcentral. Lineage: Eukaryota; Metazoa; Chordata; Mammalia; Perissodactyla; Equidae.